GGUGGCGACCGGCGCACGGGUGAGUAACGCGUAUGCAACCUACCUAUCAGAGGGGGAUAACCCGGCGAAAGUCGGACUAAUACCGCAUAAAACAGGGGCACCGCAUGGUGMUAUUUGUUAAAGAUUAAUUGCUGAUAGAUGGGCAUGCGUUCCAUUAGGUAGUUGGUGAGGUAACGGCUCACCAAGCCAACGAUGGAUAGGGGAACUGAGAGGUUGGUCCCCCACACUGGUACUGAGACACGGACCAGACUCCUACGGGAGGCAGCAGUGAGGAAUAUUGGUCAAUGGGCGAGAGCCUGAACCAGCCAAGUCGCGUGAAGGAAGAAGGAUCUAUGGUUCGUAAACUUCUUUUGCAGGGGAAUAAAGUGGAGGACGUGUCCUCUUUUGUAUGUACCCUGAGAAUAAGGAUCGGCUAACUCCGUGCCAGCAGCCGCGGUAAUACGGAGGAUCCGAGCGUUAUCCGGAUUUAUUGGGUUUAAAGGGUGCGUAGGUGGUUUAAUAAGUCAGCGGUGAAAGUUUGCAGCUUAACUGUAAAAAUGCCGUUGAAACUGUUAGACUUGAGUGUAAAUGAGGUAGGCGGAAUGCGUGGUGUAGCGGUGAAAUGCUUAGAUAUCACGAAGAACUCCGAUU
This 630-nucleotide ribosomal RNA is filed under the name uncultured Bacteroidales bacterium. Its description in RNAcentral is "bacterial SSU rRNA". It matches the Rfam family "Bacterial small subunit ribosomal RNA", at positions 87 to 714 of the family's 1533-position model. The record is from RNAcentral. Lineage: Bacteria; Pseudomonadati; Bacteroidota; Bacteroidia; Bacteroidales.